UUCUUGAAGCUUGAAGUAGGAGUUAAUGGAAACACUCAAAAAUCUUUCACUCGAGGAAUUUUUGAACACAUCAUUGAAAUCCUUCACUUUAUAUGAAUCUAAUGUUCCUCAUUGUUAUGAUGUGAUAUGCUUAUAAUUUGUAGGAGAGACAUUGAUUCUUUGAGUUGAAAUAUUAAAUAAAUUAUGAAAUGUAUGGGAUAAAAAAUAAAAGUAAUUUAUCUACAAUAUUUUGGAAAUUAAUAACUAUCGGGAAUAAUGUGACGAAGAAAGCAAAUCCAUAAUAAACUAAUGAAAGGGGUAAUGUUACUGAAAUGAUGGAAUCUACUC
Molecule: long non-coding RNA, 327 nt
Filed under: Lathyrus oleraceus (garden pea)
Lineage: Eukaryota; Viridiplantae; Streptophyta; Magnoliopsida; Fabales; Fabaceae
Description: Pisum sativum (pea) long non-coding RNA (PSAT_LNC018835)
Source: RNAcentral